GGAAAACAAAUAUACAACUUGGAAUGGAUUUGAGGCAAAUUGUGCCAUAAGCACAUUUUCUUUAAGUGGCUAAGCAAAGUCUAAGAAGCAAGUAACAGUAAAAGAAAAUGUUUCUGGUACAAUGCCAGCAGUACAAAAAGUCGUGUCCGAGUACCUGGAUAAAAACCAGCUUUGUAUUCGUGCAGCCUCUUAAGUACAUACUGUUGACUGUCCACAGUCUACUCAGUUAUCCACACGUCAACAACAUGCUGACAGUUCCUAACAGCUGCUUUAAAAAAGGCAUAACCCAGAUGUUCCCUCAUUG
RNAcentral lists this unclassified non-coding RNA (304 nucleotides) under Mus musculus (house mouse). Its description in RNAcentral is "partial calmodulin 2 antisense RNA". Lineage: Eukaryota; Metazoa; Chordata; Mammalia; Rodentia; Muridae. The record is from RNAcentral.